ACGGAAGGCAGCAGUAGGGAAUAUUGCACAAUGGGGGAAACCCUGAUGCAGCAACGCCACGUGUGGGAAGAAGCAUUUCGGUGUGUAAACCACUGUCGUGAGGGAAUAGGGCAUUGUUUCGGCGAUGUUGAAUGGACCUCGAAAGGAAGCACCGGCAAACUUCGUGCCAGCAGCCGCGGUAAUACGAGGGGUGCAAGCGUUGUUCGGAAUCACUGGGCGUAAAGGGAGCGCAGGCGGAGAUGCAAGCGGACUGUACAACCCCGGGGCCCAACCCCGGACCUGCAGUCCGGACUGCACCUCUUGGAUAGGUCAGGGGCAAGCGGAAUUCCUGGUGUAGCGGUGGAAUGCGUAGAGAUCAGGAAGAACACCGAUGGCGAAGGCAGCUUGCUGGGGACUUAUCGACGCUCAUGCUCGAAAGUGCGGGUAGCAAACAGGAUUAGAUACCCUGGUA
This 451-nucleotide ribosomal RNA is filed under the name uncultured Fibrobacter sp. Its description in RNAcentral is "partial 16S ribosomal RNA". It matches the Rfam family "Bacterial small subunit ribosomal RNA", at positions 341 to 792 of the family's 1533-position model. Lineage: Bacteria; Pseudomonadati; Fibrobacterota; Fibrobacteria; Fibrobacterales; Fibrobacteraceae. The record is from RNAcentral.